Molecule: long non-coding RNA, 211 nt
Filed under: Elaeis guineensis (African oil palm)
Lineage: Eukaryota; Viridiplantae; Streptophyta; Magnoliopsida; Arecales; Arecaceae
Description: long non-coding RNA (EGUI_LNC079758)
Source: RNAcentral
GUCCAAGAUGACUGUGCUCAACAAAUCCGCUUAUUGAAGCCCAUUGAUGACUCAUGGUCAGCCACGACUCCUACUGAGUUAGUCCUCUGCAACCGCCUGAUCGACGUCUCACAUCUUGAGUAGACAGAUCAUGGCCGACCAUCGCUCGAUGGUGCGUUAUUGCCAAUGUAUCCUCCUUGGCCGAUCAUGUCUGGCCGACCAACCUCGCGCC